RNAcentral lists this ribosomal RNA (454 nucleotides) under uncultured bacterium. Its description in RNAcentral is "bacterial SSU rRNA". It matches the Rfam family "Bacterial small subunit ribosomal RNA", at positions 8 to 507 of the family's 1533-position model. The record is from RNAcentral.
AGAGUUUGAUCAUGGCUCAGAACGAACGCUGGCGGCAGGCCUAACACAUGCAAGUCGAGCGAGGUAGCAAUACCUAGCGGCGGACGGGUGAGUAACGCGUGGGAACGUGCCCUUUGCUUCGGAAUAGCCCCGGGAAACUGGGAGUAAUACCGAAUGUGCCCUUCGGGGGGAAAGAUUUAUCGGCAAAGGAUCGGCCCGCGUUGGAUUAGGUAGUUGGUGGGGUAAUGGCCUACCAAGCCGACGAUCCAUAGCUGGUUUGAGAGGAUGAUCAGCCACACUGGGACUGAGACACGGCCCAGACUCCUACGGGAGGCAGCAGUGGGGAAUCUUAGACAAUGGGCGCAAGCCUGAUCUAGCCAUGCCGCGUGAUCGAUGAAGGCCUUAGGGUUGUAAAGAUCUUUCAGAUGGGAAGAUAAUGACUGUACCAUCAGAAGAAGCCCCGGCUAACUCCGUG